CCUACGGGAGGCAGCAGUGGGGAAUUUUGGACAAUGGGCGCAAGCCUGAUCCAGCCAUGCCGCGUGAGUGAAGAAGGCCUUCGGGUUGUAAAGCUCUUUCGGCCGGGAAGAAAUCGUGGUCUCUAACAUAGGCCAUGGAUGACGGUACCGGACUAAGAAGCACCGGCUAACUACGUGCCAGCAGCCGCGGUAAUACGUAGGGUGCGAGCGUUAAUCGGAAUUACUGGGCGUAAAGCGUGCGCAGGCGGUUUUGUAAGACAGAUGUGAAAUCCCCGGGCUUAACCUGGGAACUGCGUUUGUGACUGCAAGGCUAGAGUACGGCAGAGGGGGGUGGAAUUCCUGGUGUAGCAGUGAAAUGCGUAGAGAUCAGGAGGAACACCGAUGGCGAAGGCAGCCCCCUGGGCCUGUACUGACGCUCAUGCACGAAAGCGUGGGGAGCAAACAGGAUUAGAUACCCUGGUAGUCCACGCCCUAAACGAUGUCGACUAGUCGUUCGGAGCAGCAAUGCACUGAGUGACGCAGCUAACGCGUGAAGUCGACCGCCUGGGGAGUACGGCCGCAAGGUUAAAACUCAAAUGAAUUGACGG
Molecule: ribosomal RNA, 587 nt
Filed under: uncultured bacterium
Lineage: Bacteria
Description: bacterial SSU rRNA
Rfam family: Bacterial small subunit ribosomal RNA
Source: RNAcentral